CGUAUCACCCAAGACAACUUUACACAGUUGACGACUGACGGAGCGAAGCGACGUCAAAGCGUUUUACAACGUCGAGUUGGCUUAGGGAUACGUUCGUUGGGUAGGGGAGCGUUCUGUAAGCCGUUGAAGGUGUGUCGUGAGGCAUGCUGGAGGUAUCAGAAGUGCGAAUGCUGACAUAAGUAACGAUAAAGCGGGUGAAAAGCCCGCUCGCCGGAAGACCAAGGGUUCCUGUCCAACGUUAAUCGGGGCAGGGUGAGUCGACCCCUAAGGCGAGGCCGAAAGGCGUAGUCGAUGGGAAACGGGUUAAUAUUCCCGUACUUGGUGUUACUGCGAAGGGGGGACGGAGAAGGCUAUGUUGGCCGGGCGACGGUUGUCCCGGUUUAAGCGUGCAGGUGUGUGUUCCAGGUAAAUCCGGUUCACUUUAACACUGAGGCGUGAUGACGAGGCACCACGGUGCUGAAGCAACAAAUGCCCUGCUUCCAGGAAAAGCCUCUAAGCCUCAGGUAACAUCAAAUCGUACCCCAAACCGACACAGGUGGUCAGGUAGAGAAUACCAAGGCGCUUGAGAGAACUCGGGUGAAGGAACUAGGCAAAAUGGUGCCGUAACUUCGGGAGAAGGCACGCUGACACGUAGGUGAAGUGGUUUACCCAUGGAGCUGAAGUCAGUCGAAGAUACCAGCUGGCUGCAACUGUUUAUUAAAAACACAGCACUGUGCAAACACGAAAGUGGACGUAUACGGUGUGACGCCUGCCCGGUGCCGGAAGGUUAAUUGAUGGGGUCAGCGCAAGCGAAGCUCCUGAUCGAAGCCCCGGUAAACGGCGGCCGUAACUAUAACGGUCCUAAGGUAGCGAAAUUCCUUGUCGGGUAAGUUCCGACCUGCACGAAUGGCGUAAUGAUGGCCAGGCUGUCUCCACCCGGGACUCAGUGAAAUUGAACUCGCUGUGAAGAUGCAGUGUACCCGCGGCAAGACGGAAAGACCCCGUGAACCUUUACUAUAGCUUGACACUGAACACUGGUCCUUGAUGUGCAGGAUAGGUGGGAGGCUUUGAAGUGUGGACGCCAGUCUGCAUGGAGCCAUCCUUGAAAUACCACCCUUUAAUGGCUGGUGUUCUAACGUGGGCCCGUGAACCGGGUUGCGGACAGUGUCUGGUGGGUAGUUUGACUGGGGCGGUCUCCUCCUAAAGAGUAACGGAGGAGCACGAAGGUUGGCUAAUCCUGGUCGGACAUCAGGAGGUUAGUGCAAUGGCAUAAGCCAGCUUGACUGCGAGCGUGACGGCGCGAGCAGGUGCGAAAGCAGGUCAUAGUGAUCCGGUGGUUCUGAAUGGAAGGGCCAUCGCUCAACGGAUAAAAGGUACUCCGGGGAUAACAGGCUGAUACCGCCCAAGAGUUCAUAUCGACGGCGGUGUUUGGCACCUCGAUGUCGGCUCAUCACAUCCUGGGGCUGAAGUAGGUCCCAAGGGUAUGGCUGUUCGCCAUUUAAAGUGGUACGCGAGCUGGGUUUAGAACGUCGUGAGACAGUUCGGUCCCUAUCUGCCGUGGGCGCUGGAAGAUUGAGGGGGGCUGCUCCUAGUACGAGAGGACCGGAGUGGACGCAUCACUGGUGUU
This 1606-nucleotide ribosomal RNA is filed under the name Salmonella enterica subsp. houtenae. Its description in RNAcentral is "partial 23S ribosomal RNA". It matches the Rfam family "Bacterial large subunit ribosomal RNA", at positions 1154 to 2716 of the family's 2925-position model. The record is from RNAcentral. Lineage: Bacteria; Pseudomonadati; Pseudomonadota; Gammaproteobacteria; Enterobacterales; Enterobacteriaceae.